AUACGGAGGAUGCGAGCGUUAUCCGGAUUUAUUGGGUUUAAAGGGUGCGUAGGCUGUGCGUUAAGUCAGGGGUGAAAUGCCGUCGCUCAACGACGGAGCUGCCCUUGAUACUGGCGUGCUGGAGUACGGAUGCCGUUGGAGGAAUGAGUGGUGUAGCGGUGAAACGCUUAGAUAUCACUCAGAACACCGAUUGCGAAGGCAUCUGACGAAUCCGUCACUGACGCUGAGGCACGAAAGCGUGGGGAUAGAACAGGAUUAGAUACCCUGGUAUUCCACGCCGUAAACGAUGAUGACUAACCGUCGGCGAUAGACAGCCGGUGGCCAAGCGAAAGCGAUAAGUCAUCCACCUGGGGAGUACGUCGGCAACGAUGAGACUCAAAUGAAUUGACGGGG
This 393-nucleotide ribosomal RNA is filed under the name uncultured bacterium. RNAcentral's name for it is "partial 16S ribosomal RNA". It matches the Rfam family "Bacterial small subunit ribosomal RNA", at positions 523 to 918 of the family's 1533-position model. The record is from RNAcentral.